This 1345-nucleotide ribosomal RNA is filed under the name uncultured bacterium. RNAcentral describes it as "partial 16S ribosomal RNA". It matches the Rfam family "Bacterial small subunit ribosomal RNA". The record is from RNAcentral.
AGAGUUUGAUCAUGGCUCAGAACGUACGCUGGCGGCACGCCUAACACAUGCAAGUCGAACGCAGUAGCAAUACUGAGUGGCAAACGGGUGAGUAUAAUGUGGGAAUCUGCCUUUUGGUUUGGAAUAACACGGGGAAACUUGUGCUAAUACCGAAUAAGCCCUUACGGGGAAAGUUUUAACGCCGAAAGAUGAGCCCGCACUUGAUUAGCUAGUUGGUAAGGUAAAAGCUUACCAAGGCAAUGAUCAAUAGCUGUUCUUAGAGGAAGACCAGCCACAUUGGGACUGAGACACGGCCCAGACUCCUACGGGAGGCAGCAGUGGGGAAUCUUGCACAAUGGGGGAAACCCUGAUGCAGCGAUGCCGCGUGAGUGAAGAAGGCCCUUGGGUUGUAAAACUCUUUCGUCGGGGAAGAAAAUGACUGUACCCGAAUAAGAAGGUCCGGCUAACUUCGUGCCAGCAGCCGCGGUAAUACGAAGGGACCUAGCGUAGUUCGGAAUUACUGGGCUUAAAGAGUUCGUAGGUGGUUGAAAAAGUUGGUGGUGAAAUCCCAGAGCUUAACUCUGGAACUGCCAUCAAAACUUUUCAGCUAGAGUAUGAUAGAGGAAAGCAGAAUUUCUAGUGUAGAGGUGAAAUUCGUAGAUAUUAGAAAGAAUACCAAUUGCGAAGGCAGCUUUCUGGAUCAUUACUGACACUGAGGAACGAAAGCAUGGGUAGCGAAGAGGAUUAGAUACCCUCGUAGUCCAUGCCGUAAACGAUGUGUGUUAGACGUUGGAAAUUUAUUUUCAGUGUCGCAGCGAAAGCGAUAAACACACCGCCUGGGGAGUACGACCGCAAGGUUAAAACUCAAAUGAAUUGACGGGGACCCGCACAAGUAGUGGAGCAUGUGGUUUAAUUCGAAGAUACGCGCAGAACCUUACCAACACUUGACAUGUUCGUCGCGACUUUAAGAGAUUAAAGUUUUCGGUUCGGCCGGACGAAACACAGGUGCUGCAUGGCUGUCGUCAGCUCGUGUCGUGGGAUGUUGGGUUAAGUCCCGCAACGAGCGCAACCCUCACUUUUAGUUGCCAUCAUUAAGUUGGGCACUCUGAAAGAACUGCCAGUGAUAAGCUGGAGGAAGGUGGGGAUGACGUCAAGUCCUCAUGGCCCUUACGUGUUGGGCUACACACGUGCUACAAUGGUAUUUACAACAGGAAGCAAAACGGCGACGUUAAGCAAAUCCUUAAAAAAUACCUCAGUUCGGAUUGCACUCUGCAACUCGAGUGCAUGAAGCUGGAAUUACUAGUAAUCGUGGAUCAGCGUGCCACGGUGAAUGCGUUCCCNGGGUCUUGUACACACCGCCCGUAAU